Molecule: ribosomal RNA, 568 nt
Filed under: Phocaeicola vulgatus
Lineage: Bacteria; Pseudomonadati; Bacteroidota; Bacteroidia; Bacteroidales; Bacteroidaceae
Description: bacterial SSU rRNA
Rfam family: Bacterial small subunit ribosomal RNA
Source: RNAcentral
AUGAUACGCGAGGAACCUUACCCGGGCUUAAAUUGCAGAUGAAUUACGGUGAAAGCCGUAAGCCGCAAGGCAUCUGUGAAGGUGCUGCAUGGUUGUCGUCAGCUCGUGCCGUGAGGUGUCGGCUUAAGUGCCAUAACGAGCGCAACCCUUGUUGUCAGUUACUAACAGGUUCCGCUGAGGACUCUGACAAGACUGCCAUCGUAAGAUGUGAGGAAGGUGGGGAUGACGUCAAAUCAGCACGGCCCUUACGUCCGGGGCUACACACGUGUUACAAUGGGGGGUACAGAGGGCCGCUACCACGCGAGUGGAUGCCAAUCCCCAAAACCUCUCUCAGUUCGGACUGGAGUCUGCAACCCGACUCCACGAAGCUGGAUUCGCUAGUAAUCGCGCAUCAGCCACGGCGCGGUGAAUACGUUCCCGGGCCUUGUACACACCGCCCGUCAAGCCAUGGGAGCCGGGGGUACCUGAAGUGCGUAACCGCGAGGAGCGCCCUAGGGUAAAACUGGUGACUGGGGCUAAGUCGUAACAAGGUAGCCGUACCGGAAGGUGCGGCUGGAACACCUCCUUU